UCCGUAGGUGAACCUGCGGAAGGAUCAUUACCGAGUUCUGGGGCCCUCGCGGCCCCGCUCUCCCACCCCAUGUUUACCGACCUCCGUUGCCUCGGCGGGCCCGCGGGCCCCGCCUGCCGCCGGCCCCUUCUGGGGCGGGCCAGCGCCCGCCAGAGGACCAACCCAACUCCGCGUGAACCAGCCGUCUGAGCACAACGAGAAAUCAAUCAAAACUUUCAACAACGGAUCUCUUGGUUCUGGCAUCGAUGAAGAACGCAGCGAAAUGCGAUAAGUAAUGUGAAUUGCAGAAUUCAGUGAAUCAUCGAAUCUUUGAACGCACAUUGCGCCCCCUGGUAUUCCGGGGGGCACGCCUGUUCGAGCGUCAUUUCAACCCUCAGGCCCCCGGUCUGACGUUGGGCGCGGCCCCCUCUGGCGGGGCCCGCCUCAAACCCCUCGGCGCCGCCGUCCGUCCCCGAGCGCAGCGAGUUCUGCCCGCGCUACUGGAACGGGCCGCCGGCCGCCGGCGAACCCCUUCUCACGGUUGACCUCGGAUCAGGUGGGGAUACCCGCUGAACUUAAGCAUAUCAAUAA
Molecule: unclassified non-coding RNA, 570 nt
Filed under: Neodactylaria obpyriformis
Lineage: Eukaryota; Fungi; Ascomycota; Dothideomycetes; Neodactylariales; Neodactylariaceae
Description: sequence contains ITS1, 5.8S rRNA gene and ITS2
Rfam family: 5.8S ribosomal RNA (bases 211-364)
Source: RNAcentral